GAUGAACGCUAGCGGGAGGCCUAACACAUGCAAGCCGAGCGGGAUUUGUUGGUUAGCUUGCUAACUAACAAUGAGAGCGGCGUACGGGUGCGUAGCACGUGUGCAACCUGCCUUUAUCUGGGGGAUAGCCUUUCGAAAGGAAGAUUAAUACCCCAUAACAUAUUGAUUGGCAUCAGUUAAUAUUGAAAGCUCCGGCGGAUAGAGAUGGGCACGCGUAAGAUUAGCUAGUUGGUGAGGUAACGGCUCACCAAGGCUGCGAUCUUUAGGGGGCCUGAGAGGGGGAUCCCCCACACUGGUACUGAGACACGGACCAGACUCCUACGGGAGGCAGCAGUGAGGAAGAUUGGACAAUGGGUGAGAGCCUGAUCCAGCCAUCCCGCGUGAAGGACUAAGGACCUAGGGAUUGUAAACUUCUUUUAUACAGGGAUAAACCUACUCUCGUGAGGGUAGCUGAAGGUACUGUAUGAAUAAGCACCGGCUAACUCCGUG
RNAcentral lists this ribosomal RNA (489 nucleotides) under uncultured bacterium. Its description in RNAcentral is "partial 16S ribosomal RNA". It matches the Rfam family "Bacterial small subunit ribosomal RNA", at positions 28 to 507 of the family's 1533-position model. The record is from RNAcentral.